RNAcentral lists this ribosomal RNA (449 nucleotides) under uncultured bacterium. Its description in RNAcentral is "bacterial SSU rRNA". It matches the Rfam family "Bacterial small subunit ribosomal RNA", at positions 355 to 825 of the family's 1533-position model. The record is from RNAcentral.
UGGGGAAUCUUGCGCAAUGGGCGAAAGCCUGACGCAGCCAUGCCGCGUGAAUGAUGAAGGUCUUAGGAUUGUAAAGUUCUUUUCGCUCGUGACGAUGAUGACGGUAACGAGAGAAGAAGCCCCGGCUAACUUCGUGCCAGCAGCCGCGGUAAUACGAAGGGGGCUAGCGUUGUUCGGAAUUACUGGGCGUAAAGCGCGCGUAGGCGGCUUUGCAAGCCAGAGGUGAAAUGCCUGAGCUCAACUUAGGAAUUGCCUUUGGGACUGCGAGGCUUCGAGGACUGGAGAGGUGAGUGGAAUUCCCAGUGUAGAGGUGAAAUUCGUAGAUAUUGGGAAGAACACCAGUGGCGAAGGCGGCUCACUGGCCAGUUUCUGACGCUAAAGUGCGAAAGCGUGGGGAUCAAACAGGAUUAGAUACCCAAGUAGUCCCUGAGCGGGCUGGCAAGGCGCAU